RNAcentral lists this small nuclear RNA (24 nucleotides) under Arabidopsis thaliana (thale cress). RNAcentral describes it as "snRNA_03408". The record is from RNAcentral. Lineage: Eukaryota; Viridiplantae; Streptophyta; Magnoliopsida; Brassicales; Brassicaceae.
GAUGUAAAAUAUAAUUGGUUAAAA